Molecule: long non-coding RNA, 136 nt
Organism: Sapajus apella (tufted capuchin)
Lineage: Eukaryota; Metazoa; Chordata; Mammalia; Primates; Cebidae
Exons: 3
Source: RefSeq, a predicted model, not a curated record
UUAGUUCACUUAAGGUGGAAAAAAAUAAACAAACAAUCGCAUCAAAAAGUGGGCUAAGUACAUGAAUAGACAGUUAUUAAAAGAAUACCUACAAAUGUUCAACAAACAUGAAAAAAUGCUCAACAUCAUCAAAUGU